Molecule: non-coding RNA, 72 nt
Organism: Phrynosoma platyrhinos (Desert horned lizard)
Lineage: Eukaryota; Metazoa; Chordata; Lepidosauria; Squamata; Phrynosomatidae
Source: the annotation of a GenBank genome assembly
GCCAGUGUGGUAUAGUGGUUUGAGUGUUGGUCUAUGACUCUGUAGACAUGGGUUCAAAUACCAGCUCUGCCA